Molecule: ribosomal RNA, 899 nt
Filed under: uncultured bacterium
Lineage: Bacteria
Description: bacterial SSU rRNA
Rfam family: Bacterial small subunit ribosomal RNA
Source: RNAcentral
AGAGUUUGAUCCUGGCUCAGGAUGAACGCUGGCGGCGUGCUUAAUACAUGUAAGUCGAACGAGGGGUUUUUGUAGUAAUACAGGAACAACCUAGUGGCGAACGGGUGAGUAACACGUGGAUGAUCUGCCCUGAAGUGUGGGAUAACGGCUCGAAAGGGCUGCUAAUACCGCAUGUGGUUAUGAGGAUUAGAUGCCUGAUAACAAAAGGAGCAAUUCGCUUCAGGAGGAAUCUGCGUCCCAUCAGCUAGUUGGUGAGGUAACGGCCCACCAAGGCGACGACGGGUAGGGGGCCUGAGAGGGUGGCCCCCCACAAUGGAACUGAAACACGGUCCAUACACCUACGGGUGGCAGCAGUAGGGAAUAUUGCACAAUGGGCGAAAGCCUGAUGCAGCAACGCCGCGUGCGCGAUGAAGGCCUUCGGGUCGUAAAGCGCUUUUCGGGGAGAUGAGGAAGGACAGUAUCCCCGGAAUAAGUCUCGGCUAACUACGUGCCAGCAGCCGCGGUAAAACGUAGGAGGCAAGCGUUAUCCGAAUUUACUGGGCGUAAAGCGUGUGCAGGCGGUUCGGUAAGUUGGAUGUGAAAUCUCCUGGCUCAACUGGGAGAGGUCGUUCAAUACUGUCAGACUCGAGGGUGGUAGAGGGAGGUGGAAUUCCGGGUGUAGUGGUGAAAUGCGUAGAUAUCCGGAGGAACACCUGUGCGAAAGCGGCCUCCUGGACCAUACCUGACGCUCAUACACGAAAGCUAGGGGAGCGUACGGGAUUAGAAACCCCGGUAGUCCUAGCCGUAAACGAUGUGAACUAGGUGUCGGUGGGGUAAAAGCCAUCGGUGCCGAAGCCAACGCGAUAAGUUCACCGCCUGGGGACUACGGCCGCAAGGUUAAAACUCAAAUGAAUUGACGG